This is a small nuclear RNA of Schistocerca americana (American grasshopper), 168 nucleotides long. RefSeq annotates it as U1 spliceosomal RNA. The record is from RefSeq and is a predicted model, not a curated record. The transcript has a single exon. Lineage: Eukaryota; Metazoa; Arthropoda; Insecta; Orthoptera; Acrididae.
AUACUUACCUGACACAGGGGAUACCGUCAUCACGAAGACGGUUCCUCAAGGACGAAGCUCUUCCAUUGCACUUCGUUACAUUGUUACAAUCUAUCCUUGAUUGUCCAUACUGUGGAAUUAACUAAUUUACUUAUUAUUAGACCGGGUCUGCGCGAACGCAAUCCGAUC